This 437-nucleotide ribosomal RNA is filed under the name uncultured beta proteobacterium. Its description in RNAcentral is "bacterial SSU rRNA". It matches the Rfam family "Bacterial small subunit ribosomal RNA", at positions 983 to 1419 of the family's 1533-position model. Lineage: Bacteria; Pseudomonadati; Pseudomonadota; Betaproteobacteria. The record is from RNAcentral.
GACAUGCCAGGAACUUGCCAGAGAUGGCUUGGUGCCCGAAAGGGAGCCUGGACACAGGUGCUGCAUGGCUGUCGUCAGCUCGUGUCGUGAGAUGUUGGGUUAAGUCCCGCAACGAGCGCAACCCUUGUCGAUAGUUGCCAUCAUUAAGUUGGGCACUCUAUUGAGACUGCCGGUGACAAACCGGAGGAAGGUGGGGAUGACGUCAAGUCCUCAUGGCCCUUAUGGGUAGGGCUUCACACGUCAUACAAUGGUCGGUACAGAGGGUUGCCAACCCGCGAGGGGGAGCCAAUCUCAGAAAGCCGAUCGUAGUCCGGAUUGCAGUCUGCAACUCGACUGCGUGAAGUCGGAAUCGCUAGUAAUCGCGGAUCAGCAUGUCGCGGUGAAUACGUUCCCGGGUGUUGUACACACUGCCCGUCACACCAUGGGAGUGGGGUUUA